This 19-nucleotide unclassified non-coding RNA is filed under the name Mus musculus (house mouse). RNAcentral's name for it is "oocyte_clustered_small_RNA7650". Lineage: Eukaryota; Metazoa; Chordata; Mammalia; Rodentia; Muridae. The record is from RNAcentral.
AUGGUCCUACUCACAAGGG